RNAcentral lists this ribosomal RNA (468 nucleotides) under uncultured bacterium. RNAcentral's name for it is "partial 16S ribosomal RNA". It matches the Rfam family "Bacterial small subunit ribosomal RNA", at positions 28 to 507 of the family's 1533-position model. The record is from RNAcentral.
GACGAACGCUGGCGGCGUGCUUAACACAUGCAAGUCGAACGGAAAGGCCCUGCUUUUGUGGGGUGCUCGAGUGGCGAACGGGUGAGUAACACGUGAGUAACCUGCCCUUGACUUUGGGAUAACUUCAGGAAACUGGGGCUAAUACCGGAUAGGAGCUCCUGCUGCAUGGUGGGGGUUGGAAAGUUUCGGCGGUUGGGGAUGGACUCGCGGCUUAUCAGCUUGUUGGUGGGGUAGUGGCUUACCAAGGCUUUGACGGGUAGCCGGCCUGCGAGGGUGACCGGCCACGUUGGGACUGAGAUACGGCACAGACUCCUACGGGAGGCAGCAGUGGGGAAUAUUGCACAAUGGGCGGAAGCCUGAUGCAGCAACGCCGCGUGCGGGAUGACGGCCAUCGGGUUGUAAACCGCUUUCGCCUGUGACGAAGCGUGAGUGACGGUAAUGGGUAAAGAAGCACCGGCUAACUACGUG